GAUGUUUCGAUUAUGGCUCAGAUUGAACGCUGGCGGUAUGCCGACACAUGCAAGUCGAAUGGUAACAGGCCUUCGGGCGCUGACGAGUGGCGGACGGGUGAGUAACGCGUAGGAAUCUGCCUCAUAGUGGGGGACAACGUGGGGAAACUCACGCUAAUACCGCAUACGCCCUACGGGGGAAAGGAGGGGAUCUUCGGACCUUUCGCUAUGAGAUGAGCCUGCGUUAGAUUAGCUAGUUGGUAGGGUAAAGGCCUACCAAGGCGACGAUCUAUAGCUGGUCUGAGAGGACGAUCAGCCACACUGGGACUGAGACACGGCCCAGACUCCUACGGGAGGCAGCAGUGGGGAAUAUUGGACAAUGGGCGAAAGCCUGAUCCAGCAAUACCGCGUGUGUGAAGAAGGCCUUAGGGUUGUAAAGCACUUUCAAUUGGGAGGAAAACCUGCCGGCCAAUACCCGGUAGCUUGACAUUACCUUUAGAAGAAGCACCGGCUAACUCCGUGCCAGCAGCCGCGGUAAUACGGAGGGUGCGAGCGUUAAUCGGAAUUACUGGGCGUAAAGCGUGCGUAGGCGGUUCGUUAAGUCAGAUGUGAAAGCCCUGGGCUCAACCUGGGAACUGCAUUUGAAACUGGCGGACUAGAGUUUAGUAGAGGGGAGUGGAAUUUCAGGUGUAGCGGUGAAAUGCGUAGAUAUCUGAAGGAACACCAGUGGCGAAGGCGACUCCCUGGACUAGAACUGACGCUGAGGUACGAAAGCGUGGGUAGCAAACAGGAUUAGAUACCCUGGUAGUCCACGCCGUAAACGAUAUCGACUAGCCGUUGGCCCUAUU
RNAcentral lists this ribosomal RNA (827 nucleotides) under uncultured Gammaproteobacteria bacterium. RNAcentral describes it as "bacterial SSU rRNA". It matches the Rfam family "Bacterial small subunit ribosomal RNA", at positions 1 to 833 of the family's 1533-position model. The record is from RNAcentral. Lineage: Bacteria; Pseudomonadati; Pseudomonadota; Gammaproteobacteria.